RNAcentral lists this transfer RNA (57 nucleotides) under Pontibacillus litoralis JSM 072002. It matches the Rfam family "tRNA", at positions 1 to 54 of the family's 71-position model. From Rfam's summary of the family: Transfer RNA (tRNA) molecules are approximately 80 nucleotides in length. The record is from Rfam by way of RNAcentral. Lineage: Bacteria; Bacillati; Bacillota; Bacilli; Caryophanales; Bacillaceae.
CGCGGGGUGGAGCAGUCUGGUAGCUUGUCGGGCUCAUAACCCGAAGGUCGCAGGUUC